This is a long non-coding RNA of Homarus americanus (American lobster), 932 nucleotides long. RefSeq lists it as uncharacterized. The transcript is spliced from 2 exons. The record is from RefSeq and is a predicted model, not a curated record. Lineage: Eukaryota; Metazoa; Arthropoda; Malacostraca; Decapoda; Nephropidae.
AUUAAUCCCAUAUGUUCUGUUACUCCAUUUACACGUUUCUCGUUUUACGCGGGUUCAAUUGACCGUGUAAAUCGGGGUAUUGCUGUAAAUAACCCAGAGUUUGCAUCACAUUAAAACAAAUCUGACCAAUGGCUAUCGGUGGCUAUUUGAUGGAUGUCAUUAAAGUGAUUUGUUUUAAUCGUAUAUAAGGAGAUGGUGUUAAUUUACAUCAUCGUUAUAGUGAAAUAUCACAUCUCGGGCUUUACCUGUAUAAAGGUGUUUGUCUUGGCAGGUGAAGUGUGUUGAAGCAGCAUUAAAGGAAACUGGUCAGAAGGAACAAGUGGCAGAGUUUGAGAACAUUGUGAGAAGUCUUCAGGAAACCAACAUAAUUUCUGAUAAGACUCUAGAUAUGAUCCUGUCAGAGCCCAUUGAUGCAUUUAAGAAGCAUGAGAACACGAGACAAGACAAGGCGAUGCUAGCGUCAUUCCACGGUAAAUAUCAAGGGAGGGGACAGACCCGCAGUCGCCCACACCGGAGACAAGGCUGCUGAUAUGGAGUAGUACAUGUUAAAGUUAGAGCCAGUCAUGCCAGUGUUACAGUACAUCAGAGCAACAAUCAGGCAUUAGUUCUAUACAUUGUUUAAUUCUCCAUAUUUUAUUGUACUGUACAGUGUAUACAUGUUAAAUAGUUACCAUAAGUCACUGCAUAAAUCAUCAGAAGUUACUAUAAGCAAAAUAGGAAAAAUAGGUCAUUAUAACAGAAGCAGAAUUAGAUAGUUAUAGAGCCUUUUUGUCCUCUGUAAAACUGUUACUAAAGUGGCAUGCCACCCAUCUCUUACCCUCGAGGUGAGCCCAGUGUAGCAAGCUGUCCUUUGCCAUGAGCAUAUGUUUACAAACACCUCUAUCAUACUAUUAUUUAAGGCAGAGAGAGCACCCACAUAACCAUUUACAAAG